This 140-nucleotide microRNA precursor is filed under the name Nelumbo nucifera (sacred lotus). Lineage: Eukaryota; Viridiplantae; Streptophyta; Magnoliopsida; Proteales; Nelumbonaceae. The record is from RNAcentral.
GAGAUAAGAAGCAGUCAGGCUCGCCAAGGAACUUGCCUACGAAGCAUUAGAGGGGUCUUAAAGCAUUGCAGAGCUAUUCUUCUGAGACCCCUUUGAGGACAUAGGCAAGUCAUCCUUGGCGACCAAACAAACUCUUACCU